AUGGAGCCCGCGGCACACACAUUGCCAGAUUUCUCUGCAAAAAUGUUGAUAAUUAAUGCAUGCUCCAUCGCCAAUAAGUCUCACAUCCUAAACAAUAUGUUCUGCAUCGGAAAAUUAAACUUUUUAUUGAUUCCUGAGUCGUGGCAGCACGAAAAUGACGUCACUCAUCUCCGUGAGCUCUGUCCUCAAGACUGCUCUUUCUUCUCUGCUCCACGGACCACAGGCUGCGGUGGAGGAACAGCUGUUAUCUUUAAAAAACACUUUUCAUGCCAAAUUAUAUCCUCAAACUCCUACAGCUCAUUCGAGAUGAUCAUGAUUAAAAUUGGUCGAGUUCUACCAGUUUAUGGGAUUCUGGUCUAUCGCCCACCUGGAUCUACUUCAUCCUUCCUGUCAGACUUUCAGGACCUCCUAUCUUCAACUAUUAAACUAGACAGGAUAAUCAUUAUUGGAGAUUUCAACAUCCAUGCUGAGGAUCUAUCUAACAGCUCUACCAGGGAGUUCCUAAACAUGAUGAACUCUUUUAACUUCUCUCAACACGUAUCUGGUCCCACUCACAGAGCAGGCCACACCCUGGAUCUGGUCUUUUCCUACGGACUUCUUGUUGAUAAGCUGCAGAUAAAUGAUGUUGUGUUCAGUGACCAUAAGUCAAUUUCCUUUCAUAUUAACCUAAAUUCUGAAUCUCUUUUACCAGUCUCUGCUAAGCAAAGACGUAUUAUCAACAGUUCUACCAUUUUAAAUUUCUCCUCCCUCUUUGACUUUGUACCUCCUUCCUCUGAUGACGUAGAGCUCCUCACUAACUCAUUUAAUAAUCACUGCCUCAAAAUUCUUGAUCAGGUUGCCCCUUACAAAACCACCCGCAGUUCCAGUGCCUCCAGUUCACCCUGGCUGAACAACCAGAUUCUUGAACUUAGACGCUCCUGUAGAAAAGCAGAACGUCAGUGGAAGAGGACAGGUCUGGUUGUUCAUCGCAAAUAUUUUAAAGAACUUCUCGAGUCAUACAAUGAAGCUGUAGGAAAUACCAGGUCUUCUUUCUUCAGCAACCUCAUAUGCCAAAAUAAGGAUAAUCCGAAGGUUUUGUUUGAUACCAUCUCCAGCAUCAUUUCUUCUCCUCCUCAGCAGGCUCAGCUAUCUUCAGCUGAUGAUUGUAACACCUUUCUCCACUUUUUUUGCAAACAAGGUGUUGAAUCUGAGAUCCAGCAUUCCACAUGCUCCCCCCAUCAGCAAGGAGGCCCCUCAGUGCUCCGAGUCUUUCACCUCCUUCUCCCCAAUUACACUAAAUUACUUAACCUCAAUAAUCAGUCAGAUAAAGCUCUCAUCAUGCUCAUCAGAUGUGAUGCCUCCCUCUGUCUUAGUCAGGUCCCUUGCCUCUAUCAGUCCAUCUCUGUUGACUGUAAUCAACAGCUCACCGAGUCAAGGCUGUGUUCCAUCUUACUUUAA
RNAcentral lists this long non-coding RNA (1437 nucleotides) under Nothobranchius furzeri (turquoise killifish). Its description in RNAcentral is "lncRNA (ENSNFUG00015011989.1)". Lineage: Eukaryota; Metazoa; Chordata; Actinopteri; Cyprinodontiformes; Nothobranchiidae. The record is from RNAcentral.